UACGUAGGGUGCAAGCGUUGUCCGGAAUUAUUGGGCGUAAAGCGCGCGUAGGCGGCUACUUAAGUCGGAUGUGAAAGCCCUUGGCUCAACUGAGGAAGUGCACCCGAAACUGAGUGGCUAGAGUACGAAAGAGGGUCGCGGAAUUCCCGGUGUAGAGGUGAAAUUCGUAGAUAUCGGGAGGAACACCGGUGGCGAAGGCGGCGACCUGGGUCGAUACUGACGCUGAUGCGCGAAAGCGUGGGGAGCAAACAGG
RNAcentral lists this ribosomal RNA (253 nucleotides) under uncultured bacterium. RNAcentral's name for it is "partial 16S ribosomal RNA". It matches the Rfam family "Bacterial small subunit ribosomal RNA", at positions 524 to 776 of the family's 1533-position model. The record is from RNAcentral.